This 100-nucleotide small nuclear RNA is filed under the name Salvator merianae (Argentine black and white tegu). The record is from RNAcentral. Lineage: Eukaryota; Metazoa; Chordata; Lepidosauria; Squamata; Teiidae.
CAAAUAUUAUUGAUAUACUGAAGUUGGAACGCUACAGAGAAGAUUAGCAUGGCCCCUGUGCAAAGAUGUCAUACAAAUUCGAGAAGCAUUCCAUUUUUUA